Thamnophis sirtalis is the source of this 1013-nucleotide non-coding RNA. Lineage: Eukaryota; Metazoa; Chordata; Lepidosauria; Squamata; Natricidae. The record is from RefSeq and is a predicted model, not a curated record.
UGAACAGGAUGCUAUGGAGAAAAUGGAGAAAAUUGGCCGGAUUGUGCUGCCAAACCACAAGGAUAAAAGGUUUUAUGACAAGAAAUACCAAGUGUUUCUAAAACUUUCAGAAGAUCAAAGAAAAUAUAAAUCCAUCAUGCAGAAUGCAUAGACAGCAUAAAGAAGAAUCAUCUUUCAUAUUAGAGGUCUGACUGAUUUCUUUGACUUUUUUGAUUAGCUAUUUACAUUAAUGAGAAACAUUGUAGUAAAAAUUAAAAAUACUUUAUAGUCUAUUGAAUAUGAACAGAGAUGUAUUUUAUUAAGAUGAUAUCAUGAAACAAACUUGUCAAAUCUACAUUUCUUGAAUCAGUGUCUUAACCAGAAUUGCAGCUAUCAUUCAGCCUUCACACUUUUCAGAAUUGCAUAAUCUGUUAAAAAGCUUGCAAAAAUAUGUAUUAGGCAAAAAUGUGUAAAAGGGAAUAUAUAGAUGAAAUAUGCAAAAUGCAUACUUUUUAAAAUUUGUAAAUUUAUGUGAAAAUAAACUGAAGCUUGGGAAAGAGAAUAUCAAAUUUAUACAGUAAAUGUACCUUCAUUUGUCAGGCUUUCUAUUUAAUAUCAAAAACUAAAUUGGAGAAAGAUUUCAUUCUUGUUGCUUCUUGUUGUUUUUGGUAAUAAAAUCAAGAGUCAUAAUGUGACAUUAUGAGAAUCAAGAGUUAAGUAAGAAGAAAUACCUCUUAAUGAACUUUGUAGAAUAAAUUGCUGCAAAGAAGAAUUGCUAGGUAAAAUUUUAUACCAUAUUUUUUUCAAUUCAUUAUCAGUGUAAUUUUAAAUGUCUUAAAACUCAUUUGUCAGUCCUUCAAUGUAGACUAAGUCAGGAAACAGAAUGUUGGAGAAUCUUGAUUUUUGUUAAAAAUCUGGUUGUGUUUUCCUAUCCAUCUUUUUUUGUAUCCAUGGAGUUAAGGCAGAAUUCGUUUAAGUUUCUUUCUAAUGUCCUUGAUUUCUGGGUUUAAUAAAUGCAUUGUUUGUUCAAGGUU